Molecule: ribosomal RNA, 1028 nt
Filed under: Methanocaldococcus infernus
Lineage: Archaea; Methanobacteriati; Methanobacteriota; Methanococci; Methanococcales; Methanocaldococcaceae
Description: bacterial SSU rRNA
Rfam family: Archaeal small subunit ribosomal RNA
Source: RNAcentral
ACUCUGCUUCGGGGUCCGACUAAUCCAUGCGAGUCAUGGGGCUCCCUUUUGGGAGCACCGGCGAACGGCUCAGCAACACGUGGCUAACCUACCCUCGGGUGGGGGAUAACCUCGGGAAACUGAGGCUAAUCCCCCAUAGGGGAGGAGGUCUGGAAUGAUCCCUCCCCGAAAGGCAGUAAGCCGCCCGAGGAUGGGGCUGCGGCGGAUUAGGUAGUUGGUGGGGUAAUGGCCCACCAAGCCUACGAUCCGUACGGGCCCUGAGAGGGGGAGCCCGGAGAUGGACACUGAGACACGGGUCCAGGCCCUACGGGGCGCAGCAGGCGCGAAACCUCCGCAAUGCGCGAAAGCGCGACGGGGGGACCCCGAGUGCCCUGCCUCUGGCAGGGCUUUUCCGGAGUGUAAACAGCUCCGGGAAUAAGGGCUGGGCAAGUCCGGUGCCAGCAGCCGCGGUAAUACCGGCGGCCCAAGUGGUGGCCACUGUUAUUGGGCCUAAAGCGUCCGUAGCCGGCCCGGUAAGUCUCUGCUUAAAUCCCGCGGCUUAACCGCGGGGCUGGCAGAGAUACUGCCGGGCUUGGGACCGGGAGAGGCCGGGGGUACCCCAGGGGUAGCGGUGAAAUGCGUUGAUCCCUGGGGGACCACCUGUGGCGAAGGCGCCCGGCUGGAACGGGUCCGACGGUGAGGGACGAAGGCCGGGGGAGCAAACCGGAUUAGAUACCCGGGUAGUCCCGGCUGUAAACUCUGCGGACUAGGUGUCGCGUGCCCUUCGGGGGCACGCGGUGCCGAAGGGAAGCCGUUAAGUCCGCCGCCUGGGGAGUACGGUCGCAAGACUGAAACUUAAAGGAAUUGGCGGGGGAGCACUACAACGGGUGGAGCCUGCGGUUUAAUUGGAUUCAACGCCGGGAAUCUCACCAGGGGCGACGGCAGGAUGAAGGCCAGGUUGACGACCUUGCCAGACGCGCCGAGAGGUGGUGCAUGGCCGUCGUCAGCUCGUACCGUGAGGCGUCCUGUUAAGUCAGGUAACGAGCGAG